Molecule: long non-coding RNA, 338 nt
Organism: Pantherophis guttatus
Lineage: Eukaryota; Metazoa; Chordata; Lepidosauria; Squamata; Colubridae
Source: RefSeq, a predicted model, not a curated record
UUGUGGCAGUGGGAGAGGACAGGACUUAAGACAGUUUAUUACAAGAUACCUCAGAUCUCUGUCCUGUCUUCAAUCAUGUUUAACAACUACAUGAAGUUACUGGAAGAGGUCAUCUUUCAUUCUGGAAUGUUAUAUCAUCGAUAUGCAGAUUAUAGUCAGAUUUUUCCAGGCUGUUAUGUGCCAACCCAACAAUCAAAUUCCACUGUUCAUCAUGGGAAGAAACAACUGAAUGAAAGGGGGUCAUUCAGAGAUCUCUUACAAAGGCAUAUGCCAAUGUAACCAAAGACUGGGGCUGCGACCCGUGGCUUGGCUGGCUCGAUGAACCCCCUUGCUAUGUC